GAGAUGCUAGAAGCGGUCGGACAUGAGUUCAUGG
RNAcentral lists this small RNA (34 nucleotides) under Arabidopsis thaliana (thale cress). RNAcentral's name for it is "ATSL146240". The record is from RNAcentral. Lineage: Eukaryota; Viridiplantae; Streptophyta; Magnoliopsida; Brassicales; Brassicaceae.